UGCCAGCAGCCGCGGUAAUACGGAGGGUGCGAGCGUUAAUCGGAAUUACUGGGCGUAAAGCGCGCGUAGGCGGUUAUUUAAGUCGGAUGUGAAAGCCCCGGGCUCAACCUGGGAACUGCAUUCGAUACUGGGUAACUAGAGUACGAUAGAGGGGGGUGGAAUUUCCGGUGUAGCGGUGAAAUGCGUAGAUAUCGGAAGGAACAUCAGUGGCGAAGGCGACCCCCUGGAUUGAUACUGACGCUGAGGUACCAAAGUGUGGGGAGCAAACAGGAUUAGAUA
RNAcentral lists this ribosomal RNA (279 nucleotides) under uncultured bacterium. Its description in RNAcentral is "partial 16S ribosomal RNA". It matches the Rfam family "Bacterial small subunit ribosomal RNA", at positions 506 to 784 of the family's 1533-position model. The record is from RNAcentral.